AUUGAAGGGACACUAUAGUCACCUGAACAACUUUAGCUUAACCCCUUAAGGACUGGACUGUUUUUGCGAUGUUGUACAUUUGCGACCAGGCAUAUUUUUACACUUAUGUGAUGUUUGUGUUUGGCUGUAAUUUUCCGCGCUCUCAUUUACUGUUCCCAUACAAAUUAUAUAUUGUUUUUUUCAGGACAAAAGGGGCUUUCUUUACAUACCAUUAUUUACAUAAUCGC
This is a non-coding RNA of Pelobates cultripes (western spadefoot toad), 227 nucleotides long. The record is from the annotation of a GenBank genome assembly. Lineage: Eukaryota; Metazoa; Chordata; Amphibia; Anura; Pelobatidae.